GACAGAGGUCCCGAGCGUUAGGCGGAAUCACUGGGCUUAAAGCGUGUGUAGGCGGAUGCCUACGUACCUUGUGAAAUCCCACGGCUCACCCGUGGAACUGCUUGGUAUACUGGGUGUCUUGAGCCACUUAGGGGCUACCGGAACAAAUGGUGGAGCGGUGAAAUGCGUAGAUAUCAUUUGGAACGCCAAUGGUGAAAACAGGUAGCUGGGAGUGUGCUGACGCUGAGACACGAAAGCCAGGGGAGCAAACGGG
This 253-nucleotide ribosomal RNA is filed under the name uncultured bacterium. RNAcentral's name for it is "partial 16S ribosomal RNA". It matches the Rfam family "Bacterial small subunit ribosomal RNA", at positions 524 to 776 of the family's 1533-position model. The record is from RNAcentral.